Molecule: ribosomal RNA, 321 nt
Filed under: uncultured eukaryote
Lineage: Eukaryota
Description: partial 18S ribosomal RNA
Rfam family: Eukaryotic small subunit ribosomal RNA
Source: RNAcentral
CCCUUAGACGUUCUGGGCCGCACGCGCGCUACACUGACCAGUGCAACAAGCAUCCGUCCUUGGCCGACAGGCUCGGGCAAUCUUUGAACGCUGGUCGUGAUGGGGAUAGACUUUUGCAAUUUUUGGUCUUCAACGAGGAAUUCCUAGUAAACGCAAGUCAUCAACUUGCAUUGAUUACGCCCCUGCCCUUUGUACACACCGCCCGUCGCACCUACCGAUUGAAUGGUCCGGUGAAAUCUCGGGACGGCGGCUUGGUCGCUUGCGUCCGACUGCUGAAACUUGAUUAAACCAUAUCAUUUAGAGGAAGGUGAAGUCGUAACA